Long non-coding RNA from Lolium perenne, 306 nucleotides. RefSeq lists it as uncharacterized. The record is from RefSeq and is a predicted model, not a curated record. NCBI's taxonomy places the organism in Eukaryota, Viridiplantae, Streptophyta, Magnoliopsida, Poales, Poaceae.
CGAGCCCGCUGACACCUGGCUUGACCGUCAACAAUACGGGCAUCAUCCGGAGCCUGCAGCAGUUUCUAGGAGGACAAGGAGAUGGAGGACAAGGAGGUGGAGAAGGACAAGGAAGUGGAGGACAAGGAAGUGGCGAAGGUUGACGUUGCUUGUAUGAACUUUGUUGUGUGAGCUUGGAGCAUUCUAUGUAUGAAUUUGUUGUUGGACUACUUUGUUGUUGGUGGACUUUGUUGUUGUUGGACUUUGUUGUUGGACUAUUGUAUGGACUUUGUUGGACUAUUAGUGGUUGAACUAUGUUGUUGAUGA